Molecule: non-coding RNA, 104 nt
Filed under: Exophiala oligosperma
Lineage: Eukaryota; Fungi; Ascomycota; Eurotiomycetes; Chaetothyriales; Herpotrichiellaceae
Also listed under: 1 other name
Description: Eukaryotic large subunit ribosomal RNA
Rfam family: Eukaryotic large subunit ribosomal RNA
Source: Rfam by way of RNAcentral
AGGAACCUCUGCAGACGACCGAGAUGUACCACCGGGUCAUGUACGUAGUCGAGUAGGCUAGUUCUUACGAGCUACUGAGUGUAAGCCCGACAGUGGUCGGUUCU